CUACGGCCAUAUCAUAUUGAAAUACCGGUUUCUCGUCUGAUCACAGAAGUUAAGCAACAACGAAUCUAGUCAGUACUUUGAUGGGUGACCGUUUGGUGAUACCAGUUGCUGUAAG
Non-coding RNA from Acanthosepion pharaonis, 115 nucleotides. Lineage: Eukaryota; Metazoa; Mollusca; Cephalopoda; Sepiida; Sepiidae. The record is from the annotation of a GenBank genome assembly.